UCGCCCGGAGUCCGCCUGGCGCGCGCAGUACCAGCGGCUCCCCGCGCUCUCGGCCGCCGGGACACUCUCCGCCCCGGACGCCGUCCAGAUCCUGAGAACAGGUGGUCUCGGAGAGAAGCGCGACAGUCGCCUCUCACUCACCCAGAAGAUGAAGUUAAAUCCGAAGAGCAGGGUGAAGAGGUCCUUCUCAAUAUCCUUUACAGUUUUCUCUUCCUCACCCCUGCAGGAAGUUUCCUUAGCAUUCUUCAUUGCAAAAGCAAACCAUACUUAUUACAGAAACAUCAGAAAAUAUCAAGAAGCAAAAAGAAUAGGACCUGGGCUCCAUUCCCAGCACAUCUGUAACUCCAGUUCCAGAGGAUCUAACACCUUCUCCUGGCCUCUGUGAGCACAAGACAUGCAGAUCUCAUUAAGGAGCCCAGAGUCUGACUCUGGAUCCUCUUGCUUCAUCCUUUUGAGAAUUGGAAUUCCUCCCUCCCUCCCUCCCUUGAGUUCCAGUCCUGACUCCUUUGGUGAUGAACAGCAACAUGGAAAUGUAAGCUGAAUAAACCCUUUCCUCCCC
This 559-nucleotide long non-coding RNA is filed under the name Mus pahari (shrew mouse). RNAcentral describes it as "lncRNA (MGP_PahariEiJ_G0012280.1)". Lineage: Eukaryota; Metazoa; Chordata; Mammalia; Rodentia; Muridae. The record is from RNAcentral.